Long non-coding RNA from Aquila chrysaetos chrysaetos, 8824 nucleotides. RefSeq lists it as uncharacterized. NCBI's taxonomy places the organism in Eukaryota, Metazoa, Chordata, Aves, Accipitriformes, Accipitridae. The transcript is spliced from 20 exons. The record is from RefSeq and is a predicted model, not a curated record.
CGGCAGGAAGCGGAGCCGUGGCCGGGGCCCGACGCCGUCUCCAUGGCGACCGGCGGCGCUCCGGAGCUGCGAGACUGCCGCCGGCCUCUGAAAUGUUUCCCUCCCUAUGCAAAAAUAGCUGUUAAAAAAUAUUGAAGGGAAGAAAAGCUCUAGACAACUUCUAUUUGUCCUAACAUUCACUUGCAAUCAGCAAUGGUAUCAAGAAGGUCAAGACUUCAGGAUUGUUCUACACAUCAAACAAAAUCAGUUCAGAGCUGUGGUGGAGUAUCAGACAUAUAGACAGCUACAAAUCAAGCAGUACAGGCAAUUUCUGUCUUAUAUCACCAUGCAAGAGAAACGGAGCUGAAAGUGUUCCCACAGGUCAACUAAGCUGCUGGAGGAGUGCUCUGAAAAGCUCAAUCUGAACAUGGCUGCACAAUGAGUGUUCUUGGCAGACGGCACUGAAGCACUAGAACCUAAAGACAUACCCCAUGAUGCCGACGUUUAUAUUUCAACUGGAGAGACCUUUUUAUAUCCAUUCAAAAAAAUAAAAGGAAUUUUGCACUAGUGCUGCACAGUCCAAUAGCAACAAGAGAGAGAGAUCUCAAUCCAGCCUGCAUACUGGAGAUUACGAGCACUCUCCUGGGAAUUGUGAAAUAUGGAACUGAGUCUGUCAGAUUGAGAAGAUUAUAGAAUCUGACCUCCCUCUGCCCAGGAAAUACAAACACUUGGCCACUUCUAUAAAUGAGACUUUACUACCAUUCUUCAGACCAUCUGUCAUUAAUGAAGAAGUAUCUUGAACAGUGAAUGGCCUGGUUCUUCAUAAUGGUGUCAAGCAAAAGAAAACCAAGCCUGUCAUUUCCAACUGCAUGUAGAAAAUUAUUGAGGACACCUCUGGCAGAAUUUUAGUGUUUAAGAACUGCACAGGGCAGGAUAACUGUGAGCCUAUUGGAUCACAAAAUCAAAUUGAAAAGGACUUCUGCAGCUCCCUGGACAGCACAAAGGUUUUGUUCCAUCAUUCAGUGAACCACAUAGAGAAGAUGACAUACACCAAAAAUAAACCAGUUAAAAUCAUCAAUUUUAGUCUGGAAUAGUUUCUGGAAUCUGAUUCACUGCACACUCACCUAAAUACUUUUGCCAGCACAAGAAAAAAUGUUGCAUGGGAGUGGAAAGAAACAAUUCCAUGAACAAUGAAUUUCUUCUGGUCAAAGUAUUGCCAUUUCUGUCACCAAAAAGUAACUUGUGUGCUAUCUAUCUUAGACUUUCUUCGAAAGAAUGACAGAUUUCAGGUGAUUGCACACUGAGGAUGAAUCUUACUUCUCCAGUGAAAUGCUAAUACAAUGUAUGUGGAGAAAAAAUUGGCAAUAUCAUCACUGCAUUUUCAGUUCAUGGUACUGACGACAUCAGUGGCACAUUGGAUAAUAAGCUCCUCUGCUUGACAGAUGCCUGCAAAAUUCCAUCACACCUUUGUGGGGACCUGUUUGGGUCUUUAAGAGAGAAGGUUUCAGCCUCUCAGGAGCAAAGAUUUGUAUCCAAGGAGUUCUGUUGGCCCUGCACCAACGAUUAAAGUCUGCAGACUGUUGCAAACAGGUAUAUGAAGAUGACAAAGGCACAUGGGAAGUACUUUAUUAAUGAAAAAUAAAAGGGAAAUUACUCUGAGAAUCAAUCCAGAGCUAUUAUGAAAAGAGUCAAUUUUCUGCUUUUAUUCAUUGCAUGGCUGCCAAAUGCUUUCUUCUGGCACAGAAGCAGCGAUGGCAUGGGGUCGGGCAGAAAAGGUGAAAAGUGAGAGAGAGAAACCAGAAUCACUUGUCUUGGCUUACCCUGAGUUUGUCCUGACCUACCUAGAGGAACUAAAUGAAAGAGAGGAGGUGACCCAGACAGAAAACCGCAUUCACCAUGGGGCCUGGUCUGCAGCUCAUCAGGAGAUAGACAGCAGCUCAGCAGAAGAGGUCACAGUAUUAAGCCAGAGGCAGGUUCUGCAAAAAAAUGUCAGCAACCCCAAUCAGAAACAACUUUCAGGACCUUUGGACGCCCAUUUAAUGCCUGCAGAUCCCCUAGGGGAGACUACACAGCUGACAGUGGCACUGGUGAGGAAACUAGAAGAGAAACAUCCUAAGGCCUCAGCUCAAAGAUGGCCGUGAGGGGAGAAGCAUGAAGGGACAACGACAUCUGGCCAGUGGAUACAUACCAAAGCAGAGGAUCCCUUGUGGAACAAGUUAACUUGGCAAUCACAGUAGCGUUAAGGAGGUAGAAGCAAGUGUUUGAGAAUGGACAGAAAUGUUGCCACACCAUGUCUUACCAGAAAUCUUCUGGCAGCUAGUUGUGGAAGUACAAGGCAAGUACAGCUGGAGCCAGGCCUUCCAUGGACGGAGGUUCUACUUUGGAAGUAGAAAAAAUUAAAUAAGGAGCUGGAGGAGGAAACAGAAGAAUCAUUAUUUGUUCCUCUGUAUUGCAGAUUCUAAACUGUUUCCACAACAGUCACCUCAGGCCAUUUGUUUCAUUAUAGCAUCAAGGUAAGAGCCAAGGAUUUUUAAGUAACAGUGAGAGCACUAAAUGCACUGUUUUUUCUCAGCAGCCCGGUGGUUUGCAACCCCAACAGUUAAUCUCUAACAAUUAGAGAAAUCACCCUUCGCUCAGUGGCAUAAUUCCCAUAAAUCCUUAACCAACUCCAUUAUUGAAAAAUAAAAGUAUUAUGCUUGUUUCAACUUUUUACCAUGUAAGUUCAUUGAAAUUCAUUAAGCUACUCUAGUGUGAAACAGGAGUAGCCCAGCUUUUUCGAAAAACAAUUGAAUUCUUGUAACAGCAGAAGUACGCAGAGGGCAAUGAGAAUCGGUUGAACAAACAGCAGCUGUAGGAAGUAGCUGCACUUACUGCAUGGAGCAACAGAUGGCGGUAUUUUCUUAUCUGUUAGGAGAGUUAAAUACGGGCUCUCAUUCCACGACUAUUCUAAAUCAUAUAUUGACAGUUACUGAAAUCCACCACAAAAAUAGUUUUUCAGAAACUCGGUGCAUGUGUCACUUAUGGAUAAAUGUUAAUUUUAGAAGCAGAUUACACUGUAAGAAACUCCUUUUUUACAUAUCCAGAAUUUAAAUAUAAAAACAUCCUAGAGCCCUUCCCUGCUAAGGUCACUCUCUGAGAUUAAUUACUGCGUGGCCUUGGAGCCCAGAAGAUGAUAUGAUGGGAAGGAGUAGCAGGAAAAAGGCACUCCUCAACCAACAUUGUUAAUACAAGGGAUUUUACCUGCUUAGAAAAGAUGCAGCACGCAGGUCCGCAAAAGGUGAAGAGGCUAAUUUUGCUCCUUGCUGAAAAAGACUCCAUAAAUUUCCUGUGCAGCAACUGCACAUGUACUUGGCCUUUGCAUGUGAACGCGAGGAGGUAGCUCUUAGCAAAAUGAAAGACCUCGCACUGACUGCCAAGCCCUUGGAGUGCCCGUAGAAACACAUGGCGAGCUACGAGACCGUGACUUCGGUGUAUAUGCACUGGUUGGUGCCCAUGUGAAUUGCCAUAAUUUCUGCUGGCUUGUCCAUAAAGCAGACCAACUGGGAGAUCAAUCUUUUAGCCAGUUUUUAUCUAGUAUUUAAAAUAAAUAAAAAGUGAGCGUCUCCUGUCUCUAACAGAGAGAGGAUAGUAAAUCAUACGCGGGACUAUUACUGCUCCACAGCCAACUUCCUACCACAUCAGAAACUACACUGGGUUCUAGUUCCUAGAAAGGAGUAUUCAUGCAUUAACAUACUACUACUGGAGGGGAAAAAAAAAAAAAUACACACACACACACACACACACACAUAUAAAAAUUAAUCCUUAGAUGAAAUCCUGAGUGUACUAUAGAGAAUGAAAAACCUGCCAUUCACUGUAGAAUACGUAUUUCACCACUUUGCAUAAGAUACAGUUAUAUCUUUUCUUUUUUCUUUUUCUUUUUUUUUUUUUUAAACAAUUCACAUACAAAGUCAAACCAUAAAGCAGAUUCUUCCUUUUUAAAAUACAAACACUCCUGGCAAGAAAGUAUUGGUGAAUUUGAUGAUAGGGUGGAUCCCCAAAAGACAAGAAUGAAGAAUCAUUUGAAGAUGAUGAACUGCCAAAAAUCACAACACAAUGACAGCUUUAUACUUUCUUUGGAAUAUUUUCCCAUCCAGUUCCUCUUCCUCUGCUUUUUCUGUUUUUCUUUUAAAACCCAACCUUCCUAUUCUUCUUUGUCCACAAGUAUGCAUUAUACUUACUUUUCUAAUUUAGUUCUCAUAAGGAAGUUAGAAACCUGGGGCAUAAAAAGUAGAGACUCUGAAGACUAAUGUUUGUAUAUAACACUCAGUCUUUUAAGUUCACAGAGCAUUUUAUCAGCCUGAAAUUCAGCUGUUUAUUCAGACCUCAACCAAGGCUCUCUACAGGAUUUAAGGAAGUGCAACCCAGCAAUUUGAGUUCAGAGACCAGCACAUUAGAAGCCAUGCCUUCUCAGGCCCUGGUUUUGGGAGUGCGGGAUUCUGACCUGGAUGUUAGGACUGAGGUUACAUUAGUGGAAAAGUCACCAGACGGCAGCAGUCACUCCGGCUGUGGAAAGAGAAUGACAAUUGAAAGCGUUAUGUUGGCUCAUGUUUUAAAGGCUCGGUGUUAUGAAUGCAAACUCUCUAUAUUAUUUCUUAGAAAAUAAAUGCAACUUUAUAGAUGGUUGUCCAACUGUCCUUUAUUGUGUUUGAGAAAGAAUUGGGUUUAGUGCUUGAAUAGGGCCUCAAUAUUAUUCUGUCAUUUCCUUACUUUAUUAGCCACUAUUUCCUGCAAAGAAUCUCGCAAAUGAAUUUGAAGAAAGCUAAUGUGCUGGUCUAAUGAUGGAUUGCUUUCAGGACUGAUCAAGGUACUUUCUUCCCAUCCAGUGAAUGAAUCAUGGUCAUUCAACAGUGGACUGUUGGACAGAUAUGUGAAGUGCUCUUUGCUUUAAAGCUUUCCCAACAUGAGGAAUAAUCUUAGGACCACAAUGUCAUCAAAUAAAAAUACUAUACUGUUAUAGAGGCUCAGAUUAGUACUAAUAUAAUAAAUCCAGGCACUGUGUCCUUCAAAAACAGAGAGAAAAAAAAAAUGUAUGCACCAUUUGCCUUUAAUCACAGAGACAUACUGAACAUGCUCAAAAUGCCAAUAGUUUUAUAGAUUGCUGUGCAGUUUACUACUCUUUUCUCUACUUUUUUCCCUUAAGAGAUGAAAUCUACAGCAGCAGCAUGACAGGAGAUACAUUAAAUCAGUCAGUGGACCCAUGAAGAGAGAAAGUCCAUCUUUCGGCAGUAAUAACAGAAAUUCAAAUUUUUCUCAGGUUAAUAUGGGAAACAAUGCCACCUUCUCAAGCUAUUGAUGAUACUCCAAAGUAUUCAUUGCUCAGAGUCCGGGUGGGCAUCAGUCUGCUGGUAGGAGGUGACUGAUUUCUUCACUUUGGAAGCUGAAAAUAUGCUGCACCUUCUACAAGAAGAUCUGUCUUCUUUGUGGAUUGAAACCUUCUCACAAACUGUCUCAGAACAGACCUCUGCAGCUAUGAACCAGAAAACAGUAAAUAUAAUUGCAUAUAGAAAUGGAGUUGGCUGCCAAAACAGGCAAUUCAUAUUGACCGAGGCAUUCCCUUUGGUAGGUAACAAUCCCCAAAGUCAACUGUAACGACCAGUCACUGCUGCUACCUACUCACUCCUUGUCUAUUUUUCCGCAUUCUUACACGUGCUCUUUAAAACUUCAUCAACUUAAACUUAGAUCCUUGCAUUAUUGCUAAUAAGCCCACUAAGGAGAAAUAUGCAAUCAGUAUUAAAGGGCUUAACAGCUCAUCCCUCUCGGGAUGUAAAGGCGGCCAAGCUAUGGAACAUUCCAGACAGUUCAGAGAGCUGACCUGAAGGAACCGUGCCUGUGGAGGACUUACCUACUAUCGAGGGUGUGGUGACUUGGCUUGGUCAGGAACGGAGGCCACAGAUUCAUUCUGUAAACACUAGUAAUUUUAUGGGAUUUUCCUGGAACAGACCCAGUUAUUGCAAAGGUGACUCUCAGUAACUUUAAGCUGUUUCUUGGUGGCUGCGUGUCUCUCAUCCAUAAAGUCCAUCUCCUGAUUCCUUGUCAUAAUCACUGAUUUCAUGGAUUUAAAGAUAAUCUCUUAAGUGGGAACUCUCUGUAAACCAACUCAGGGAUGUCCAUCUGAAUAUUAAGCAACUUCUGAGAAGUAUGAAUUGUCCCAUACUUUCCAACAGAAUAUUUGAAUGCUAGAGAAUCCGUAUGUCAGCUAAGGCAGGGCUAAUCACUGUAACAACCAUGGCAAGCACGCGUGCUUCUCCCUGUUCAUUAAAUAUGGAGACAGAUAUUGAGCAGAGUAGGAGAAGCAUUAGAACAUCUAGUUCUGAAUGUCUACAAGGUAACAAAACCACAGAAAUUAUCUUCUUUUCAAUGAUAGCCCAUGAUAGUGUUGUGGGCUGUGAAUGGGCAACAGAAACAUUCGGGAGAGGAGUGUGAAGGAAACGCUAAAAUCCACAAUGCUGCUGAAGGAAGGGCUGUAAUGGACAUUGCAGGUAAAAAGACAAUCUUAAAGUCUCAGUUAACUCUUUUUUUUUUGUGAAAUUGCAUAUAGGUGGUUUUUCAUACAGCUACAGUAUUUUGUUACAGAGCUAAAAGAAGACCCUUUCCGAAUAAACGCUUAGAACUAUCUUUAGAAAUCCUUUACCUUGAUUUUCACUUUCUUACAGAAAAAUUAACGCUAUUAGAAAAAAUAUUAACAUUGAAUAAACAUGCUGUUUGUUUUUGUAUUUUAAUAGGCUCUUUUUAGUUUAAUCUUAACUUAAAAAAUAGCACUUUUGGACUAAGAAUGGAUUGCACUACAUAUAAGUAUUACUUCAAAAUGUUUGUGAAAAGUUAAAGGGAAUACACCUAUAAGGCCAGAAUUCUACACCAUCCAGAGCAAUGAUGUGCCUAAUUUGAGAGCGUAAUUCAUGUAAUUGUAUGUACAAAUUAUGCUAGUUGCUGCCUAACUGACCAUUACUUUUAAAAAUUUUUAAUCUAUGUACACAACUGCAGUCAUUGCGCAGGUUAAUUAAAUGCUAUUGAAAAUCAGACUUGGUGUAAAGGUUAUGUUAAAUAAAUAUCAGAAUACUUAAAAAUUAUUAAUUGAUCAGUAUUGCAUGCAAGAUGAUAUACAUUUCAGAGUAAGAUUCUGAAGUAUUUUUAUGACAUUACUGUUAAUUUUUAUUGCUUACUUGAUACAUCUGUGAGUAUGUAAAGAUUGAUUGUUCUUAAUACCUUUAAAAUAAUUAGAAGAAAAGAAAGGUUAUUGGGAUCGUGAAUCCAUUUUAUAUACUAGUCAAUCAAGAGAGUAAGAAAGGAGAAAUAAAGAUUUGAGAUUAGCUCAAAGAUAAAACACAUUAAAAAUGUAAAGGAAUUAUGUGUUAAAUUUACAAUUAUAUUUUUAUAGCAUUAAUUAUUAGAUGGAUGUCGGUCAUGUAAAUUCAGGUCAGAUCAGAAUUACAACCAUCCCAAAAUAUCAUUGAGUUUAUUGAAGGUUUUAAAGUUGAAGUCAUGCAAUCGAUGCCAGGAAUUAGAUACCACAAACAGGUGGCUCAGAAGUCAGCAACUUGCUCCCUGCUUCACACAAUACCAAUUAAUUCAUUAAUUACACUUAAGGCAACAUGGACAGGCAGUAUUGGAGAGGAGAGACCAGAAAUGAAGUUUCUCCAUCUUUGCUAAAUACAUAACUACUAUGCACAAGAAGAAUAGUCCUUUUUGAAUUUUGUCUGUUUGUCCUUAUUAGUUUUAAAUGUGUAAUGACCUGUUUUCACAGAGGGUGAUGAGAUUUCUGACCAACUGUGCUCUAGUUUGUAUUAUAAGAGGUUCCUGAGAGUAGGACAACCAGAAUCAGGCCCACUGACUCCUUCAACUACUCUUCUAACAGCUAAGCUACACGUAAUAAUAGAUAUUUUUGAUAUUUUUUUCCCUUUUCCUCAUUUCUUCUUCCAGUUCAUAACCAAUAUUCAUUCCUCCUAUGUCCAUCUUUAGGCAGCCUUUACCUUGCUGCAGCUGUAUUCUUACCCUCAGAUAAUCAACACCGUUUACCCCUCUUGUAAAAAUGAUAAAGUUCAAUGAAAAGUUAUAAUAAAGGAAUGAUUGCAUGGUAGUUAUCACUCUGUAGAUACAACUAGUAACAGUAGGGAUUCCCGACACACCAUCCUUUCCUCAAAAACUGCCAGUGUCACUUCUUUUUUAUGCUUUUGCUAGCAAAACUGAAUCAGUGGGCUAAGAAUGCAUACACUUCAGCUAACUUGAAUGAGCAGCAUAAACGCUAGCAUGCUGCUUGGAGAAUUAAUAGAUGGGAAAGAAGAUAAAACAGAUAAAUCUUUUUUGCAAAGCUAUGAUAAGGAAAGAAUUGUGAUUUACUGUAUCAAAAAUAAAUUCAAAAAAAUUUAGAAAGGGAAAGCCAAAAAAAUGAGGAAAAGAAUCACUUUAAAAACUGGGGGGAAAAAUCUCUCUUUUUAAUUUUAGAGUGUUGAAAAGUUUGCCUGGCGUUAAUGUGCUAUAUAAAAUGAAUGUAAACCCUACUCGGUACUACUUCAAACAAAAAUGGCAGUGCAAUUUUCAAAUUGUGAAUUUAACAUCUUGCGUGCUUUGAGUGGUUUUAAGUGUUAUUCUGUGUAUUAACAGGGGACAGAUCCUCUAGAUGAUAAAAGCACAUGUGCAGUGUGUUAUUCCCCCCUUUUGGGAGCAGGAAAAAUUUUUUUGCUUGUGUUUCAAAUGCAAAUUUUCUCACUUCCUAAAGGAACUUUUGAGACUCCUUAAUAUUGCAUAUUAUUAAAUUUUGAAUGCUAGGUAAUUUUAAAAUGAAUUGCUUAACUAGACAGAAAUUCCUGUA